AACGCACCUUGCGCCCUUUGGUUAUUCCGGAGGGCAUGCCUGUUUGAGUAUCAUGAACACCUCAACUCCCAUGGUUUGCCAUGGUAGCUUGGACUUUGGAGGCUUUGCUGGCUCUUGGUCAGCUCCUCUCAAAUGAAUCAGCUUGCCAGUGUCUGGUGGUUCACAGGUGUGAUAAAUAUCUACGCCUGCGGUUUUCCACCAGGUAACCUUCAGCAACGGAGGUUCACUGGGGCUUAUAGAUGUCCCCCCCAGCGAGGACAAUCCUUUGAACGUUUGAUCUCAAAUCAGGUAGGACUACCCGCUGAACUUA
Molecule: ribosomal RNA, 310 nt
Filed under: uncultured Tomentella
Lineage: Eukaryota; Fungi; Basidiomycota; Agaricomycetes; Thelephorales; Thelephoraceae
Description: eukaryotic LSU rRNA
Source: RNAcentral